AGCAGCCGCCGCGGGAAUACGAGGGGGGCAAGCGUUGUUCGGAAUUAUUGGGCGUAAAGGGUGCGUAGGCGGUUUGACAAGUCUUAUGGGAAAUCUCUGGGCUCAACCCAGAGUCUGCAUGGGAAACUGUCGAGCUUGAGUAUGGGAGAGGUGAGUGGAAUUUCCGGUGUAGCGGUGAAAUGCGUAGAUAUCGGAAGGAACACCUGUGGCGAAAGCGGCUCACUGGACCAUUUCUGACGCUGAUGCACGAAAGCUAGGGGAGCAAACAGGAUUAGAUAUCCCGGUAGUCCCUGUCUCUUAUAC
This 303-nucleotide ribosomal RNA is filed under the name uncultured bacterium. Its description in RNAcentral is "partial 16S ribosomal RNA". It matches the Rfam family "Bacterial small subunit ribosomal RNA", at positions 507 to 807 of the family's 1533-position model. The record is from RNAcentral.